Molecule: ribosomal RNA, 513 nt
Filed under: uncultured bacterium
Lineage: Bacteria
Description: partial 16S ribosomal RNA
Rfam family: Bacterial small subunit ribosomal RNA
Source: RNAcentral
GAUGAACGCUGGCGGCGUGCCUAAUACUUGCAAGUCGAGCGAACAGACGAGGAGCUUGCUCCUUUGACGUUAGCGGCGGACGGGUGAGUAACACGUGGGUAACCUACCUAUAAGACUGGGAUAACUUCGGGAAACCGGAGCUAAUACCGGAUAAUAUUUCGAACCGCAUGGUUCGAUAGUGAAAGAUGGCUCUGCUAUCACUUAUAGAUGGACCUGCGCCGUAUUAGCUAGUUGGUAAGGUAACGGCUUACCAAGGCAACGAUACGUAGCCGACCUGAGAGGGUGAUCGGCCACACUGGAACUGAGACACGGUCCAGACUCCUACGGGAGGCAGCAGUAGGGAAUCUUCCGCAAUGGGCGAAAGCCUAACGGAGCAACGCCGCGUGAGUGAUGAAGGUCUUCGGAUCGUAAAACUCUGUUAUUAGGGAAGAACAAACGUGUAAGUAACUGUGCACGUCUUGACGGUACCUAAUCAGAAAGCCACGGCUAACUACGUGCCAGCAGCCGCAGUAA